UGCAAUUUCUUUUAUGUUACAGAAUCUCUGUUACCAAUUCUCAAGGCGACCUAUUGUAUAUUCUUCCCUCCUUUGUCGAUUGGAUUCAGACCGGUUUUCUAAAGACAUAAGAGAGGAUUAAGAGACGUUUCGACACCUACCGAAGGGUUUUGGGAAGAACGGAGACUCCACCCUGAGUGAACCAAAAGUUGACGCUUGACCAGAAAAACUAAAAGAUAAGUAGCAAGCCAAAAAAACGAUACUGGAGGCUGACGAAAGCUAAGAGAUGUCAAGCAGAAAAGAAUGAGAUAAGUUAAAAUCAGUAAUUACUUGAACUUAUGAAAAACUUGACGGCCAUACUACCACUUUGUGUACAAGGUACAUUUGUCUGUAGAUAACCCGGGAGCUCCGGUUUUCCAGAUGAGAUAGGGUGGCUUCCUGAUUUCUCCUACAUUCGGCGAUCCUGUGUUCUGGAACAGUCUCUCAUUCUCUUCGUGUGUGUUUCAUCGCAGGGUCCCGGAGAGGGCUGGCGAGAGGUGACAGGAGAAAAGAAACAGUCUGGUCACAUAAGACUGGAGAAUUCCAGAUUAAACAAAACCGGCCAGUUUUCUCUACCGUAUGAUUCCUGAGGUUUCAGUACGGUAAUAGGCAUCAUGAAUCUGUAAGAGGGAAGCUAGUACGGAAGCCUAUUUAUUGGCGCAGGUGUUCUGAGGGACACAUUUGAGAAAGGUGGCUUCUCAGGAUAGAGUGAGAAAUUUUUAAAAGAGGGAGAGGGGGAGAAAAUCUAUUUCUUCCUCCCGGUGGAAGUUGUAUUACCAGCGAAGCCCUUAGAGUCUUUAUCUCAUUUCUUAAUACCGUGUGAAAUAGUCGUUAUCCUGAGAAAACAGACACGGAGAAGCCAAAUCGCCUGUUGAAGAUCAUACAUUUGUAAGUGGCAGAACGAAGAUUUUGAGUCCGGAAGUUCUUGACUCACACCGCGGACCGUGUAUCGUUUUGCAUAGAA
Molecule: long non-coding RNA, 982 nt
Organism: Felis catus (domestic cat)
Lineage: Eukaryota; Metazoa; Chordata; Mammalia; Carnivora; Felidae
Exons: 2
Source: RefSeq, a predicted model, not a curated record